This 253-nucleotide ribosomal RNA is filed under the name uncultured bacterium. RNAcentral's name for it is "partial 16S ribosomal RNA". It matches the Rfam family "Bacterial small subunit ribosomal RNA", at positions 524 to 776 of the family's 1533-position model. The record is from RNAcentral.
UACGUAGGGGGCAAGCGUUAUCCGGAUUUACUGGGUGUAAAGGGGGCGCAGACGGCAGCGCAAGCCAGGAGCGAAAGCCCGGGGCCCAACCCCGGGACUGCUCUUGGAACUGCGCGGCUGGAGUGCAGGAGGGGCAGGCGGAAUUCCUGGUGUAGCGGUGAAAUGCGUAGAUAUCAGGAGGAACACCGGUGGCGAAGGCGGCCUGCUGGACUGCGACUGACGUUGAGGCCCGAAAGCGUGGGGAGCAAACAGG